CCUUAUCCCAUUCAUUUUUGUUGUGUCCGAUGAACCUACGCUCGCUGAGGCUGACAUAUGAAACCAUCGGAGACUGACUUUAAUGAGCGAGCAAGCCAGUUAUCCACAAAGGAUCCAAAUAUCAACGAGCAGCACCAGGCUCGUGUCUCCUCAAGAGCUGGUCUCAUCUGUGGCCUAUGACCUGGUCUGCUUCUGACAGUCCUCAACAAAAACAACCUCACUUACCCUCUCCCUGUAGAUAAUAUAUAAUGAAGUGUUUUGUUGAAUGCAAUUGGUUGCCUUAUAUAUUUUGCACUAUUGACCAAACUUCUCUCUUGACUUAAACUGAGCAGCUUCAGUUAUUUAUUGAUAUUCACUUGUCGGGGAUGUUUAUGUGAAUGUGUCUUAACACAACGGUACAUUAGGACAUGUGAUAUACAGUAGACUAAUUAUAUAUAUUCUGCAUAUGCAGCACUUUCUAUGCAUGUAUUUGUGUGUUCCGAGGUAUAGUUUAGCCUGUGUUUCGGGAAGGAUAAAGGGGUAACGUUACAAUAGCCAUUUUAAAAUAAAUUACAAAGCAGUAAUUAUAUGGAUUGUAUUUAGGA
Long non-coding RNA from Micropterus dolomieu (smallmouth bass), 584 nucleotides. RefSeq lists it as uncharacterized. The record is from RefSeq and is a predicted model, not a curated record. The transcript has 3 exons. Lineage: Eukaryota; Metazoa; Chordata; Actinopteri; Centrarchiformes; Centrarchidae.